ACCCUAAAUGAUUUAAAAAAAUAAAUUAAAAUUCAUUAUUUGGACAGCAUUUUUUAUUUUAUUAGAGAUGGAAAGGAUCUAGAGAGAUAUAAAGUAUUAACUAUUGUUUAAUGCUCUUCCCCAUGCAGGUGCAAAGGAUACCGUCAAUCUUACAGAUGCCUUUGAAUGGACUUGAAGCUGUUCUCCAGGAGGUGGUACUAGCACAGGGAGACAAAGCUUACCUCACCCUGGCAUGCCAAGACAUACCUUGGCAUUGGCCUUCAAGUGCUUUGUUUCUGGGAAGAAGACUCACUUUGCUUGGCUGGAUGGUGAGAUCCACUGGGGUAAAUUUUCAGAGUCAUUCAAGGCAGAAAAUCGGAUUCCUUUUGCGGUUGAAACGUGUUUUUCCUGCAACCGGUAAUAUAAAGACUGUGUGGGCUUCGCCGGAAAUGGAAGACGAGGAGAGUACCCUCGUUACUACUCUGAUGGCAAACCUGGACACUGUCCUGAAUGUUAAUACUGUAUGCAAGGAGAAUAUUAGUUGUUUUCCAGUCUUUUACACAUUUCAGUUGUCACAUAUUGUUGUUUUGUUUUUGUUUUUUUGUGAGAUGCCAUUUUAAAUAAUUUCUGCUGAAGCACAUUUGCCUUAUGCAGUCAUUCUUUUUCAUAAUGUGUUAUUUUAAUGUAUUACAUUAUUACCAUUAUUUGGUUUUCAUAUAAGUGGCUGUAAUAUCUUGGAGAGAAAGUAGAACCAAUAAAGUAGUUGUAAAUAUAUUGUAACAGCAUUGUUUAACAAUUGGAUAACCUUGUUUUAAAAAUUAGAUAGACAAGCAAAGUUAAUAACGUGCAAUAUUUUAUAUGUGUAAAUACAAUGUUUCUUAUUGUUUUUGAACAAUGACUGGAAUCAAUAAAAAAUUUCUUUACAAAACUGAUAAACGGCUAAGUUGUUUAUGUUUUAACAGUCAGAAUCAACUUUUUUUUUUUUUUUGUAAUAAAGCAAGCACAUACAGAAACAUUUUGUCCGGUAACAAAGUCAUGACACAAACAUAAGAUGAAAGGUAUGCUGUGCGAAGGUGGAGACCUUGUGGGGGUGAAGAAAGCUCAGGUGAGGAGCAGUUGCACACAUCAAGCCGGACUUUAUAAAGGGUGGAGGAGAUGAGACCGCCGCCGUUAGGCUGGGACGGAGGCGUGUUAUCAGGAUAUUGGCUGAGCAGGUGAGAUGAAGACAGUUAUAGUUAGAAUUUACACAUUAGUUUAAUUUAUGUAUCCAAUGAUUUCAUUCAAAAUGGUUUUUA
Fundulus heteroclitus (mummichog) is the source of this 1274-nucleotide long non-coding RNA. RefSeq lists it as uncharacterized. The transcript has 3 exons. The record is from RefSeq and is a predicted model, not a curated record. Lineage: Eukaryota; Metazoa; Chordata; Actinopteri; Cyprinodontiformes; Fundulidae.